CCUACGGGUGGCAGCAGUGGGGAAUAUUGCGCAAUGGGCGAAAGCCUGACGCAGCGACGCCGCGUGAGGGAUGAAGGUCUUCGGAUCGUAAACCUCUGUCAGCAGGGAAGAACGGUCACUGUGCUAAUCAGCAGUGAAUUGACGGUACCUGCAAAGGAAGCACCGGCUAACUCCGUGCCAGCAGCCGCGGUAAUACGGAGGGUGCGAGCGUUAAUCGGAAUUACUGGGCGUAAAGCGCUCGUAGGCGGUAUGUCAAGUCAAGGGUGAAAUCCCCGCGCUCAACGUGGGAACUGCCUUUGAAACUGGCAAACUGGAGUGUGUGAGAGGAUAGUGGAAUUCCAGGUGUAGGGGUGAAAUGCGUAGAUAUCUGGAAGAACAUCAGUGGCGAAGGCGACUAUCUGGCACAUAACUGACGCUGAGGAGCGAAAGCGUGGGUAGCAAACAGGAUUAGAUACCCUUGUAGUC
RNAcentral lists this ribosomal RNA (465 nucleotides) under uncultured bacterium. RNAcentral's name for it is "partial 16S ribosomal RNA". It matches the Rfam family "Bacterial small subunit ribosomal RNA", at positions 338 to 795 of the family's 1533-position model. The record is from RNAcentral.